AACCCCAUGGGUCAUGUACAGGUUAGUACCACGCUCUACCAACAACCCCAAGGGUCAUGAAGAGGUUAGUACCACGCUCUACCAACAACCCCAAGGGUCAUGAAGAGGUUAGUACCACGCUCUACCAACUGAACCCCAUGGGUCAUGUACAGGUUAGUACCACGCUCUACCAACAACCCCACGGGUCAUGAACAGGUUAGUACCACGCUCUACCAACAACCCCACGAGUCAUGAACAGGUUAGUACCACGCUCUACCAACUGAACACCACGGGUCAUGAACAGGUUAGUACCACGCUCUACCAACUGAACCCCACGGGUCAUGAACAGGUUAGUACCACGCUCUACCAACUGAACCCCACGGUCAUGAACAGGUUAGUACCACGCUCUACCAACAACCCCAAGGGUCAUGAACAGGUUAGUACCACG
Long non-coding RNA from Oncorhynchus keta (chum salmon), 427 nucleotides. RefSeq lists it as uncharacterized. The transcript is spliced from 3 exons. NCBI's taxonomy places the organism in Eukaryota, Metazoa, Chordata, Actinopteri, Salmoniformes, Salmonidae. The record is from RefSeq and is a predicted model, not a curated record.